CCCUCAAAACAGAUGGCCAGGAGUUAUCCAAAAAGGGACUUAAAUGUGGCCAAAAUUGACAUAUAUUGAAUGACUAAUGGCUCACAUAGAAUUUGGCUAAGGACUUGGAUAGUGUUUGGAAAUGGGCGCUUCUGUCUCAGAAUAAGUGGUUUAAAAAAAAUACCCAUGAAAAGGGAAAUGACCAAUUUGGUUGAUGAUUAAAUAAUUAAACUUUUUUGAACCUCAGAAAAAUGUCCAGUUUGGUUUGAGUUUUUGGAGGGAAAGUGCUGGUCAGUUCUCACUUAGUUGCAGCCUGUAGACUUGUCUUCAGAGGUAUGAAAGUGGGGAAUUUGGAAGACUUGAUUCAGGACAUCCACUCGAGUCAAUGGAGUUUCACUCAGAAUCACAGAAUCAGACCCAUUGUGCACCUCUCCCAUUUCAGCAUGAGCUUGUUGCCUGCACAGCAUAACUGAGGUGUGUAGUUUGCCAGAUGUACAUGCUUUCCACUCUACCUGUGGUCGUACAAAAACUGGUUUGUUUUUCCCAAAAUUCAGCAUCCAGUGCAGCAACUGCUAUAUGGUGUGUGCAGGUGAGAACAUGAACCCAGGGCAUGGAUGAAACAACAGCCUGAGAUUGGCUGUGUGGUGGAUGCUUCCAGCAGCCUGCUUACAUUUACAGCCAUCAGCAAGGAUCUGAGCAUCUCCUAUCAGGUGGAACCAAGUCCAAAAUUAUUUCCUGCAGCUUUUUCCCAAACUACAAGUCCCAAUACUUUUCAGUUUGGGUUGCGAAGAAUAAAGCAGCAUAUAUAUUGUCAAUGAGUUGGCCUUUCUCCUCAAUCUUGCAAGCCAAUGUUCUUGCAAGCUGCUUUUCAUGUCUCAGAUAAAGUCGACUUUGAACAGACUGAAGCAGUCACAAUGUAAAGAUGAGUCCUACCAAGGAGGGGAUGAAGACAUACAGACACACCACUGUCUCGCACUGGAGGCUCUGGAAAGUAGACCAGGAGCCAAAGCCAUUGGACAGCAGCAACACCAGCACCUCACACAGCUUCUCAUGAAUCAGCUCAAAGCCAGGCUCCACAGAGGAUAGCAGCCACUCCAUGGCACUGAUCCAGCAUAGGGCUCUGCCUAGUUACCAUGGAUCCAGCAGGCACAACAAACCCCAACAUUCCACCUGGAACCCAACCAGCAACUGCCAUCCUGGAUUGGUCAGUUAUCUGCUCAGUGUUGGGGGAGGGUGGCAGGAGGGAAAUUUGUAAAUAAAAUGUGAUU
Molecule: long non-coding RNA, 1247 nt
Organism: Phacochoerus africanus (Common warthog)
Lineage: Eukaryota; Metazoa; Chordata; Mammalia; Artiodactyla; Suidae
Exons: 3
Source: RefSeq, a predicted model, not a curated record